GAUGAACGCUGGCGGCGUGCCUAACACAUGCAAGUCGAACGGCAAGACAGUAAGAUUGUGCUCUUACGGGUGGCGGGUGGCGGGAGGGUGACGAGUACAUCGUAAUCUUCUCUUUCGGGGAGGAUAACGAAAGUGGGGUUACUCUAAUAUCGCAUAUGACGUACCGGGGAGAGCAUGGGAGCGUUGGGCCUUUCGCGAUUGAAUUCGCUGAUGUCGGGUUGGCUAGUGGGCUGGGUAAAGGCCCACCAAGUGGAGGAUCCGAAGCUGGUCGGGGAGGAUGGUCACCCACACGGGAACGGAACCCGGGACAAGACUCCUACGGGAGGGAGCAGUGGGGAAUAGUGGACAAUGGGCGAAAGCCUGACCCAGCGAUACCGCGUGGGUGAAGAAGGCCUUCGGGUUGUAAAGCCCUUUUUUUGGGAAAGAAAAGCAGCAGGUUAAUACCCAGCCGUUGUGACGGUACCCAAUGAAUAAGCACCGGCUAACUACGUG
RNAcentral lists this ribosomal RNA (492 nucleotides) under uncultured bacterium. RNAcentral describes it as "partial 16S ribosomal RNA". It matches the Rfam family "Bacterial small subunit ribosomal RNA", at positions 28 to 507 of the family's 1533-position model. The record is from RNAcentral.